GACGAACGCUGGCGGCGUGCCUAACACAUGCAAGUCGAGCGGGGUUGAGGCGAGAGGUAACUCGAACUUCUACCUAGCGGCGGACGGGUGAGUAACGCGUGGGCAACCUGCCUCAAGGUUUGGGAUAACAGCCCGAAAGGGCUGCUAAUACCGGAUAUGCCUAUGGCCUCGCAUGGGGCUAUGAGCAAAGGGGAAACCCGCCUUGAGAUGGGCCCGCGUCCCAUCAGCUAGUUGGUGAGGUAACAGCUCACCAAGGCGACGACGGGUAGCCGGCCUGAGAGGGUGACCGGCCACACUGGGACUGAGACACGGCCCAGACUCCUACGGGGGGCAGCAGUGGGGGAUCUUGCACAAUGGGCGAAAGCCUGAUGCAGCGACGCCGCGUGAGCGAAGAAGGCCUUCGGUGUAAAGCUCUGUUUGGUAGGGACGGAACAAAUAGACGGUACCUCCGGACGGAAGCCACGGCUAACUACGUG
RNAcentral lists this ribosomal RNA (476 nucleotides) under uncultured bacterium. RNAcentral describes it as "bacterial SSU rRNA". It matches the Rfam family "Bacterial small subunit ribosomal RNA", at positions 28 to 507 of the family's 1533-position model. The record is from RNAcentral.